UACGUAGGGUGCAAGCGUUGUCCGGAAUUAUUGGGCGUAAAGGGCUCGUAGGCGGUCCAUCGCGUCGGGAGUGAAAAGCUGGGGCUUAACCCCAGUCCUGCUUCCGAUACGGGUGGACUAGAGGUAGGUAGGGGAGAUCGGAAUUCCUGGUGUAGCGGUGAAAUGCGCAGAUAUCAGGAGGAACACCGGUGGCGAAGGCGGAUCUCUGGGCCUUACCUGACGCUGAGGCGCGAAAGCUAGGGGAGCAAACGGG
This 253-nucleotide ribosomal RNA is filed under the name uncultured bacterium. RNAcentral's name for it is "partial 16S ribosomal RNA". It matches the Rfam family "Bacterial small subunit ribosomal RNA", at positions 524 to 776 of the family's 1533-position model. The record is from RNAcentral.